AGUGAACGCUGGCGGUAGGCCUAACACAUGCAAGUCGAACGGCAGCACAGUAAGAGCUUGCUCUUACGGGUGGCGAGUGGCGGACGGGUGAGGAAUACAUCGGAAUCUACUUUUUCGUGGGGGAUAACGUAGGGAAACUUACGCUAAUACCGCAUACGACCUACGGGUGAAAGCAGGGGAUCUUCGGACCUUGCGCGAUUGAAUGAGCCGAUGUCGGAUUAGCUAGUUGGCGGGGUAAAGGCCCACCAAGGCGACGAUCCGUAGCUGGUCUGAGAGGAUGAUCAGCCACACUGGAACUGAGACACGGGCCAGACUCCUACGGGAGGCAGCAUUGGGGAAUAUUGGACAAGGGGCGAAAGCCUGAUCCAGCCAUACGGCGUGGGUGAAGAAGGCCUUCGGGUGGUAAAGCCCUUUUGUUGGGAAAGAAAAGCAGCAGGUUAAUACCCCGCUGUUCUGACGGUACCCAAAGAAGAAGCACCGGCUAACUUCGU
This 491-nucleotide ribosomal RNA is filed under the name uncultured bacterium. RNAcentral describes it as "partial 16S ribosomal RNA". It matches the Rfam family "Bacterial small subunit ribosomal RNA", at positions 29 to 506 of the family's 1533-position model. The record is from RNAcentral.